GGUACAGCCAGAUCCUGGAGCAGAUCAACCUCAGCGAGGGCCAGCCCAGCUGGUGACCCUGUCCUGGCCACCAGGACAGGUGCUGGUGUCAGGAAGCACAAGACAUCCCCGUCGCUGACCAUCGCAAGCUCUUCCCAGUCUCGCUCGCGUUCCCCACUCCGUGGCAGCUGACCUGAUCUCCCGGCACUGGCACUGACACCGGAGAUGGUUGUGACCACUGGAGAACCGGAUGGUGCCUUAUCCUCAUAGGAAGAAGCAUCCGGCUGCGCCGGGAGGUCCGUUGGAAGAACUGCAGGCUCGUGCCCUCCUCUUUAUUUUCAAAGAGGAGCACAAAGCUGGGGGUGUUGUAAGGUGACCCAGACCUCCAAGAGUCCCUUGAGACUGCCAAGCCCUUUCCCAGCUGGUACCUGGACUCCGAGGGCAUUUUCCCCUGUUUCUGCUAAUAAAAGAAUCCCUGUCAAGCCA
Molecule: non-coding RNA, 465 nt
Organism: Pseudopodoces humilis (Tibetan ground-tit)
Lineage: Eukaryota; Metazoa; Chordata; Aves; Passeriformes; Paridae
Source: RefSeq, a predicted model, not a curated record